AAAUGUGAUAAUAAGUUAACCUUUUUUGAAAUGUUCAAGUAUUUAUUGUUUAGAUAAUCUGAAAAUGGGGGCCAGGGAUGAUGAAUACGAUUAUUUAUUCAAAGUUGUGUUGAUUGGAGACUCCGGAGUGGGUAAAUCCAACCUGCUCUCCAGGUUUACAAGGAACGAGUUCAAUCUGGAAUCAAAAUCUACCAUCGGAGUAGAGUUCGCCACAAGAUCUAUUCAGGUUGAUGGGAAAACGAUAAAAGCUCAGAUCUGGGAUACCGCUGGACAAGAGAGAUACAGAGCAAUCACUUCAGCGUAUUACCGUGGUGCAGUUGGUGCCCUGUUAGUGUAUGAUAUAGCUAAGCACCUGACCUAUGAGAAUGUUGAACGAUGGUUGAGGGAGUUGAGAGAUCAUGCAGAUGCAAACAUAGUUAUCAUGUUGGUGGGAAAUAAAUCAGAUCUACGGCAUCUACGCGCUGUUCCUACAGAUGAAGCCAAAGCUUUCGCGGAGAAGAACAACCUCAGUUUCAUCGAGACCUCCGCCUUGGAUUCAACCAACGUAGAGACAGCUUUUCAUAAUAUUCUCACAGACAUAUAUCGUAUCAAGUCCGUGAGCCAAUUACCCGAGGGGGGUUCAAUCAAUGGCGCCUUUACCCUUCCCCCCACCCAACUUGACCCUGAAAAGAAACCCUGCUGCAGUUCCCUUUAAAACGAAAAGUUCGAAAAAUCCACAUGAAUAGAAAUCUACCGUAUUGUGUCCCAGAAGCAGAUAAGUGAGGGUGGAGGAGAGAUGGAGCGCCCAGGUGGAAGCCAAACUAUCAACCUUC
RNAcentral lists this unclassified non-coding RNA (812 nucleotides) under Eurytemora carolleeae. RNAcentral's name for it is "ras-related protein Rab-11B". The record is from RNAcentral. Lineage: Eukaryota; Metazoa; Arthropoda; Copepoda; Calanoida; Temoridae.